CAAGUCGUGGGGCAGCAUGACUGUAGCAAUACAGUUGAUGGCGACCGGCAAACGGGUGCGGAACACGUACACAACCUUCCUUUUAGUGGAGAAUAGCCCAGGGAAACUUGGAUUAAUACUCCGUAACAUAUAGAAGUGGCAUCACUUUUGUAUUAUAGCAGCAAUGCGCUAGAAGAUGGGUGUGCGGCUGAUUAGAUAGUUGGCGGGGUAACGGCCCACCAAGUCGACGAUCAGUAACUGGUGUGAGAGCACGACCAGUCACACGGGCACUGAGACACGGGCCCGACUCCUACGGGAGGCAGCAGUAAGGAAUAUUGGUCAAUGGACGCAAGUCUGAACCAGCCAUGCCGCGUGGAGGAUGAAGGUCCUCUGGAUUGUAAACUUCUUUUAUCUGGGAAGAAAUCCACUUUUUCUAAGGUGGUUGACGGUACCAGAUGAAUAAGCACCGGCUAACUCCGUGCCAGCAGCCGCGGUAAUACGGAGGGUGCAAGCGUUAUCCGGAUUCACUGGGUUUAAAGGGUGCGUAGGUGGGCAAGUAAGUCAGUGGUGAAAUCUCCGGGCUUAACCCGGAAACUGCCAUUGAUACUAUUUGUCUUGAAUACUGUGGAGGUCAGCGGAAUAUGUCAUGUAGCGGUGAAAUGCUUAGAUAUGACAUAGAACGCCAAUUGCGAAGGCAGCUGGCUACACAAAUAUUGACACUGAGGCACGAAAGCGUGGGGAUCAAACAGGAUUAGAUACCCUGGUAGUCCACGCCCUAAACUAUGGAUACUCGACAUACGCGAUAAACUGUGUGUGUCUGAGCGAAAGCAUUAAGUAUCCCACCUGGGAAGUACGAUCGCAAGAUUGAAC
Molecule: ribosomal RNA, 849 nt
Filed under: uncultured Flavobacteriaceae bacterium
Lineage: Bacteria; Pseudomonadati; Bacteroidota; Flavobacteriia; Flavobacteriales; Flavobacteriaceae
Description: bacterial SSU rRNA
Rfam family: Bacterial small subunit ribosomal RNA
Source: RNAcentral